UCAGACUCAUUGUCUUAGGAUCAUCGAGG
Molecule: non-coding RNA, 29 nt
Filed under: Mus musculus (house mouse)
Lineage: Eukaryota; Metazoa; Chordata; Mammalia; Rodentia; Muridae
Source: RNAcentral